Molecule: ribosomal RNA, 429 nt
Filed under: Bacillota bacterium
Lineage: Bacteria; Bacillati; Bacillota
Description: Firmicutes bacterium partial 16S ribosomal RNA
Rfam family: Bacterial small subunit ribosomal RNA
Source: RNAcentral
UAGGGAAUCUUCGGCAAUGGACGGAAGUCUGACCGAGCAACGCCGCGUGAGUGAAGAAGGUUUUCGGAUCGUAAAGCUCUGUUGUUAGAGAAGAACGUUGGUAGGAGUGGAAAAUCUACCAAGUGACGGUAACUAACCAGAAAGGGACGGCUAACUACGUGCCAGCAGCCGCGGUAAUACGUAGGUCCCGAGAGUUGUCCGGAUUUAUUGGGCGUAACGCGAGCGCAGGCGGUUCUUUAAGUCUGAAGUUAAAGGCAGUGGCUUAACCAUUGUACGCUUUGGAAACUGGAGGACUUGAGUGAAGAAGGGGAGAGUGGAAUUCCAUGUGUAGCGGUAAAAUGCGUAAAUAUAUGGAGGAACACCGGUGGCGAAAGCGGCUCUCUGGUCUGUAACUGACGCUGAGGCUCGAAAGCGUGGGGAGCAAACAGG